GGCCGUGCCAAGGGUAUAAAAGAGGAUCUGAGGGCGCGCGUGUGGCUCUCUGAGCACGCGCAACGGGUAAGGUGGCCUAGAUGUUAGUAGGCGUAAGUUGGGUUAACGAAACGAGUAUAUAGUCUACUGAUUUUAGAAUUUCAGUUCUUUUCUGGGCUGACCUGAGAGCCUCCAUAAUUUUUUUUUAAAUCAAUUUGUUGACUACUCAUUAUACAGUUGAGAAUGAUAACAGUACAGAAAUAGUUCUAAAAGAAAUUAUAUAUAUCUGUGUGGACAUUAUCUGUCCAAAGUACAAGUUGCGGACACUCGAUAACUACAGUUUCAAGCCAUCUUCCAGUUUCCCGAGCAUUGUUCUAUACAGUAAUGCUUUCAAUGAAUGCACAUUUGUAAAAUACAACUGAUAUUUGACAUUUAUCUGUGAAAUCAGCAGAGAGAGACACAUCAGACAGAACAUAUGCAGAAGAAGAAACUGUCUCUGUGCAGUGAUGACAUCUAAAAUGAGUGUUUUCUAGAACUGUAACUGUUGAAUUAUUUCCAGCCAUCCACCUAAGAUGAAAGCAAAAUCUGUUACAGUUAAAACUCACAGGCAAGGAAGGACGNUCAUUCUUAAAUUUGAAGGGUCUAUGAUAAACUCUGCAUAGGUCCCUAUUGGCAUUUAUUAUUUGGAGGUAGGUUUUUUUUGUUUUGUUUUGUUUUUAAUUUGGGCUUAAUUUUCUUAUCUUAUUUAGAGAUCACACUUUAGAAAACUUGGUUGAGUCAGAGGCAUAAUUAAACUAACGCAUUGAAGCACAAUAGAAACAUAAAAUGAGCAAUAGAGCAGCAUCAGUCAACAUUACAAAUUUUGCAACAAUUUGCCGUAUUGGUUCUCAUGAAAUUUUCUAACCCCUCUCCCCCAAAUUUUAGGGCUUAAUUCUGAAAUCACAUUUAGUAGAAUUGAAACGUUAUCAUUUGAAAUGAGCUGAAAGAAGUUAUCGUGACAGUUUGAAAUAAACAAAUAAAAUAUCUUUGGUGAUCGAAUUCA
Molecule: long non-coding RNA, 1021 nt
Filed under: Salvator merianae (Argentine black and white tegu)
Lineage: Eukaryota; Metazoa; Chordata; Lepidosauria; Squamata; Teiidae
Description: lncRNA (ENSSMRG00000004166.1)
Source: RNAcentral